AAUAAGCGGAGGAAAAGAAACCAACAGGGAUUGCCUUAGUAGCGGCGAGUGAAGCGGCAAAAGCUCAAAUUUGAAAUCUGGCGCCUUCGGUGUCCGAGUUGUAAUUUGAAGAUUGUAACCUUGGGGUUGGCUCUUGUCUAUGUUUCUUGGAACAGGACGUCACAGAGGGUGAGAAUCCCGUGCGAUGAGAUGCCCAAUUCUAUGUAAGGUGCUUUCGAAGAGUCGAGUUGUUUGGGAAUGCAGCUCUAAGUGGGUGGUAAAUUCCAUCUAAAGCUAAAUAUUGGCGAGAGACCGAUAGCGAACAAGUACAGUGAUGGAAAGAUGAAAAGAACUUUGAAAAGAGAGUGAAAAAGUACGUGAAAUUGUUGAAAGGGAAGGGUUUGAGAUCAGACUCGAUAUUUUGUGAGCCUUGCCUUCGUGGCGGGGUGACCCGCAGCUUAUCGGGCCAGCAUCGGUUUGGGCGGUAGGAUAAUGGCGUAGGAAUGUGACUUUACUUCGGUGAAGUGUUAUAGCCUGCGUUGAUGCUGCCUGCCUAGACCGAGGACUGCGAUUUUAUCAAGGAUGCUGGCAUAAUGAUCCCAAACCGCCCGUCUUGAAA
This 598-nucleotide ribosomal RNA is filed under the name Pichia sp. YSF14. Its description in RNAcentral is "eukaryotic LSU rRNA". It matches the Rfam family "Eukaryotic large subunit ribosomal RNA", at positions 45 to 659 of the family's 3401-position model. Lineage: Eukaryota; Fungi; Ascomycota; Pichiomycetes; Pichiales; Pichiaceae. The record is from RNAcentral.